CGCUAGCGGCAGGCCUAACACAUGCAAGUCGAGGGGUAACAGGGAAGCUUGCUUCCGCUGACGACCGGCGCACGGGUGCGUAACGCGUAUACAAUCUACCUUUUGCUGUGGGAUAGCCCAGAGAAAUUUGGAUUAAGACCACAUGGUAUUAAGACAUGGCAUCAUGAUUUAAUUAAAGGUUACGGCAAAAGAUGAGUAUGCGUCCUAUUAGCUAGAUGGUGUGGUAACGGCACACCAUGGCAACGAUAGGUAGGGGUCCUGAGAGGGAGAUCCCCCACACUGGUACUGAGACACGGACCAGACUCCUACGGGAGGCAGCAGUGAGGAAUAUUGGACAAUGGGCGCAAGCCUGAUCCAGCCAUGCCGCGUGCAGGAAGACGGCCCUAUGGGUUGUAAACUGCUUUUAUACAGGAAGAAACACCUCCUCGUGAGGGGGCUUGACGGUACUGUAAGAAUAAGGAUCGGCUAACUCCGUGCCAGCAGCCGCGGUAAUACGGAGGAUCCAAGCGUUAUCCGGAAUCAUUGGGUUUAAAGGGUCCGUAGGUGGACUACUAAGUCAGAGGUGAAAUCCCACAGCUUAACUGUGGCACUGCCUUUGAUACUGGUGGUCUUGAGUCAUUAUGAAGUGGUUAGAAUAUGUAGUGUAGCGGUGAAAUGCUUAGAUAUUACAUAGAAUACCGAUUGCGAAGGCAGAUCACUAAUAAUGUACUGACACUGAUGGACGAAAGCGUGGGUAGCGAACAGGAUUAGAUACCCUGGUAGUCCACGCCGUAAACGAUGG
This 781-nucleotide ribosomal RNA is filed under the name uncultured Bacteroidota bacterium. RNAcentral describes it as "bacterial SSU rRNA". It matches the Rfam family "Bacterial small subunit ribosomal RNA", at positions 34 to 812 of the family's 1533-position model. The record is from RNAcentral. Lineage: Bacteria; Pseudomonadati; Bacteroidota.